UUGUCUCGCCAGAGGCAUAGCUGGGGUAGCUACGUUUGGAAGUGAUAAGCGCUGAAAGCAUCUAAGCGCGAAGCCUACCUCAAGAUGAGAUUUCCCACAGCGUAAGCUGGUAAGACUCCAGAGAGAAUAUCUGGUAGAUAGGCUAGAAGUGUAAGUGCCGUGAGGUAUUUAGCGGACUAGUACUAAUAGGUCGAGGGCUUGACCUA
This is a ribosomal RNA of Desulfonispora thiosulfatigenes DSM 11270, 206 nucleotides long. It matches the Rfam family "Bacterial large subunit ribosomal RNA", at positions 2721 to 2925 of the family's 2925-position model. The record is from Rfam. Lineage: Bacteria; Bacillati; Bacillota; Clostridia; Eubacteriales; Peptococcaceae.